CAGUUAAAAAGCUCGUAGUCGGAUUUCAGUAUUAGGCCCUUCUUCCAAUACGGUUGCUAGUGGUCUUUACUUCCUUAACAGAAUCUUUCAUCUCAUUAAUUUGGGGUGUUUGGGGCCUGUUUCUUUUACUUUGAGAAAAUUAGAGUGUUCAAAGCGGGUUUUCGCCUGGAUAUUACUCUUGGAAUAAUAAUAUAGGACUUUGGUUCUUUUUUGUUGGUGACUUAGAACCGAAGUAAUGAUUGAUAGGGACAGUUGGGGUCAUUCGUACUAUGAAGCGAGAGGUGAAAUUCAUGGACCUUUGUAUGACGAACUACUGCGAAAGCAUUUGACUAGGAUGUUCCCGUUGAUCAAGAACGAAAGUUGGGGGAUCGAAGACGAUCAGAUACCGUCGUAGUCUCAACCAUAAACUAUGCCAGCUAGGGAUUGGAGGAAGAUCAUUUUACGUCUCCUUCAGCACCUUAUGAGAAAUCAAAGCAUUUGGGUUCCGGGGGGAGUAUGGUUCGCAAGGCUG
RNAcentral lists this ribosomal RNA (511 nucleotides) under uncultured marine eukaryote. Its description in RNAcentral is "SSU rRNA". It matches the Rfam family "Eukaryotic small subunit ribosomal RNA", at positions 616 to 1139 of the family's 1831-position model. The record is from RNAcentral.